Molecule: long non-coding RNA, 776 nt
Organism: Labeo rohita (rohu)
Lineage: Eukaryota; Metazoa; Chordata; Actinopteri; Cypriniformes; Cyprinidae
Exons: 3
Source: RefSeq, a predicted model, not a curated record
UAUAGCGAAGAGAAGAAUCAACGUUGCAAACGAGCGAUUAAGCGAUGGGAUUACUACCAUGAGUACACAAAGCCAUUUGCGUUGAGUGUCUACUAGAGGCCAACAACUCACGGAUUUGAUGGAAGAAGAAGAGUCAGCCGCUCCUGUGUUGUGCUGUUUGAACUCUCAAUCUGGCGGCACCCAUUCACUGCAGAGGAUCCAUUGGAGGGCAAGUGAUAUAAUGCUAAAUUUCUACAAAUCUGUUGUGUUGAAGAGACAAGCUCAUCUACAAUCUGGACAGCUUGCAAGAGAUCAACAACGGUGUUGGGAGCACAGAUGAGCUCUCCGCAUCCACAGGGAACGGACUGGGUGCGCAUGCACGCGAUGACAUCAUGACACCCGCACGUCACGCAACGAAACUUUAGUGACGACUUGAAUUCAUUUUAUGGAGCUCAAAAUAAUUAAUUUAGACCGAGUUGCUUUUUGAACAUUCAUCUCCAAUGGGUCUUUAUUUUGGACUGUUUUCGUUGGUUCUCGGACACUCUGGCACUGUAUUCCACUGAUUCAGUGUUCUGCUUUGAUGCCUUUCAUACUGAUAUAUUUUUUUCUGUAUUGAACCGUAUUUAAAAUGGAGCCGAGUUAUUGUGAAGUUUAGGUACUAAAAGUGUUCUAUUAUUAAUGUUUCUGAAGAAUCGAUCUGAAGAUGAAUGGAUUUAAUGUUAAAGCAUGCAGAAAUCAGAUUCAGAGAUUCAGAGCCCUUGUAAAGCUUGACUGUAGGCUGAUAUGAUUAUUUAUUU